RNAcentral lists this long non-coding RNA (252 nucleotides) under Elaeis guineensis (African oil palm). Its description in RNAcentral is "long non-coding RNA (EGUI_LNC037461)". The record is from RNAcentral. Lineage: Eukaryota; Viridiplantae; Streptophyta; Magnoliopsida; Arecales; Arecaceae.
CAAUGCCACUGCCUCCCGUCAGGCAGACAGCCAAGCCAAUAACCAGGUGCAGCCACUAGCGAUGGAGACUCCACCAGUCCAGCCAAUGCUUGUCACGACGGACCAGUUCAACCUGCUCUUCCAGCAGGUCUAAACUUAGAUGGUUGCCAUCUAGAUGGUACAAACCAUUCUUGCACUUCAACUGAUGGCACCGUAACCUGAUUAGGCUACUCCCGCACCCCCUUCAGUGGUGCCACCAGUAUUUUUCUCAAC